UACGAAGGGGGGCUAGCGUUGUUCGGAUUUACUGGGCGUAAAGGGCGCGUAGGCGGCCACCGCAAGUCGACUGUGAAAUCUCCGGGCUUAACCCGGAAAGGUCAGCCGAUACUGCGGGGCUAGAGUGCAGAAGGGGGCAACUGGAAUUCUCGGUGUAGCGGUGAAAUGCGUAGAUAUCGAGAGGAACACCUGCGGCGAAGGCGGGUUGCUGGGCUGACACUGACGCUGAUGUGCGAAAGCUAGGGGAGCGAACGGGG
RNAcentral lists this ribosomal RNA (257 nucleotides) under uncultured bacterium. RNAcentral describes it as "partial 16S ribosomal RNA". It matches the Rfam family "Bacterial small subunit ribosomal RNA", at positions 524 to 777 of the family's 1533-position model. The record is from RNAcentral.